GAUGAACGCUGGCGGCGUGCCUAAUACAUGCAAGUCGAGCGAACGGACGAUAAGCUUGCUUCUCUGAUGUUAGCGGCGGACGGGUGAGUAACACGUGGAUAACCUACCUAUAAGACUGGGAUAACUUCGGGAAACCGGAGCUAAUACCGGAUGAUAUUUUGAACCGCAUGGUUCAAAAGUGAAAGACGGUCUUGCUGUCACUUAUAGAUGUAUCCGCGCUGCAUUAGCUAGUUGGUAAGGUAACGGCUUACCAAGGCAACGAUGCAUAGCCGACCUGAGAGGGUGAUCGGCCACACUGGAACUGAGACACGGUCCAGACGCCUACGGGAGGCAGCAGUAGGGAAUCUUCCGCAAUGGGCGAAAGCCUGACGGAGCAACGCCGCGUGAGUGAUGAAGGUCUUCGGAUCGUAAAACUCUGUUAUUAGGGAAGAACAUAUGUGUAAGUAACUGUGCACAUCGUGACGGUACCUAAUCAGAAAGCCACGGCUAACUACGUG
Molecule: ribosomal RNA, 497 nt
Filed under: uncultured bacterium
Lineage: Bacteria
Description: partial 16S ribosomal RNA
Rfam family: Bacterial small subunit ribosomal RNA
Source: RNAcentral